CCAACAGUAGAAGAGUAUAUGGAAGUUGCAACUGUGACAAGCACUUAUGCUAUGUUGACAACUGUAUCUUUCUUGGGCAUGGAAGACACAACAGAGGAGGUCCUCAUAUGGGCAACGAGUCACCCAAAAAUUAUUGAAGCUGCUUCAGUUAUUGCUAGGAUCAUGGAUGACAUUGUUGGAAGUGAGAGAUUUGAGCUGUAACAUGCUAAGCGGGCCAAUCCCUCCUAUAUUGGGAAAUUUAACUUACACAGAAAAACUGUAUUUAUAUGGAAACAAGC
Molecule: long non-coding RNA, 278 nt
Organism: Vigna radiata var. radiata (mung bean)
Lineage: Eukaryota; Viridiplantae; Streptophyta; Magnoliopsida; Fabales; Fabaceae
Exons: 3
Source: RefSeq, a predicted model, not a curated record